RNAcentral lists this long non-coding RNA (358 nucleotides) under Coffea arabica (coffee). RNAcentral describes it as "long non-coding RNA (CARA_LNC001101)". The record is from RNAcentral. Lineage: Eukaryota; Viridiplantae; Streptophyta; Magnoliopsida; Gentianales; Rubiaceae.
GAUUAUUAAUCUACAUUAAGAGCCAUGCAUUAUUACAUUGUUUUUGAAAUUUACAGUACUUUAAUUUUUUUAAUGUAAGAAACAAUCUAAAUAAUGUUGAGUGUUCUGUAAAUACACAAUUAUUGAGGAAUAUAAUUAACAAAUUAUUAUUGGCUUUAGUGACUUUAAAAAAUGGAUUUUAUUACAGCGACAUGAAAUAAAAUUGUUUGGAAAAAAAUGAAUGCAUAUAUUGCAAAAAAAAAUGAAAUAAAAAAGUGCUCUGUAAAAUUGUUGAAUACAGUAAUUGUUUAGCGUGUUCAGCAGUAGCUUUUGACUGAAUGAUUCCCAAAAGUUAAACAGCAGUAAAAAAAAAAAAAAA